This 361-nucleotide ribosomal RNA is filed under the name Entoloma sp. 184-104. RNAcentral describes it as "eukaryotic LSU rRNA". The stretch from base 1 to 105 matches the Rfam family "5.8S ribosomal RNA", at positions 50 to 154 of the family's 154-position model. The record is from RNAcentral. Lineage: Eukaryota; Fungi; Basidiomycota; Agaricomycetes; Agaricales; Entolomataceae.
GAAAUGCGAUAAGUAAUGUGAAUUGCAGAAUUCAGUGAAUCAUCGAAUCUUUGAACGCACCUUGCGCUCCUUGGUAUUCCGAGGAGCAUGCCUGUUUGAGUGUCAUGAAAUUCUCAACCUUUUUGGCUUUUCCAUAUGUGGUUAGCCAUUUUGGAUUGGAUUGUUGGGGGUUGCUGGCUUCAUAAAAGUCAGCUCUUCUUAAAUACAUUAGCAAAGUCUUUGCUGAAUUAUCCUUUGGUGUGAUAAAAUAUCUAUGCCAUCGAGAAUCAGCCUUGUCACAGAUUUUGCUUCUAAUAGUCCUUUUGUGGACAGCAUGUACAAAUUUGACCUCAAAUCAGGUAGGACUACCCGCUGAACUUAA